GCAGACCAGCUCAGGCAGCUCAGUUCCACUGUGACAAGACCACUGUCACCUGGGGAGCAAUUUGUUAGAGUAACAGCACCUGUUUGGGAUUUUAUUGGCUUCUGGCUUUUUACUUCAUGGACAGGAUUUGGCGAUGAGGAUCAAACAAAUAAAUGCCCAGUUGUUGACGCAAAGAACAAAGACCUUGAAACCGCCUUGGAAUCAACGCUGGCAGAAAAGUUUUCUUAAAGGACCAGAAGAUAAUUUCUACCGGGGUGAAACAAAAAUGUGUUAGGGCUUCACUUUUUAAAAUGCAACGGCAACGUCAGUUCUAUCUCACAGAGGUUUCCUAAAGAUGUAAGGGCGCUUCCGGAACAUUAUGCUGGAGAAGCAAGACGUGGAGACCACGUGUUGUCUGACUCCGUUCAUAUGAAACAUCCAGAACAGGCAAACCCAUAGGGCAGAAAGUAGAUAGAAGAUGGUGAAAUUUUUGCAAGUAUUAAUCAGAAGGAUGGGAUGGUCAGUUUCCAUGAUAACCCUGAAAAAUAUAAUAACCCCGCCAUGCUUCAUAACAUUGAUCAGGAGAUGCUGAGGUGCAUAGAGCUGGACGAACGGCUGAGGGCCAUGGACCAGGAGAUCACAGUGAACCCCCAGUUCGUGCAGAAGAGCAUGGGGUCACAGGAAGACGAUUCGGGAAACAAGCCAUCCAGUUACUCCUGAAGCCAGGGCUCAUCGUGAGUCAGAGACGCCUUCGCCGUGGCCGGGGCAGGUGUCGGGAGGGCAGCAGGGAGGACCAGGCCCAUCUCACCUGGGCGUUGAGACAGUGUGUUUCGUUUUGACGUCCUCGGUCCGGUGUGCUUUCAGAAAACCAUUCUCUCUGCAAAGAAAGGAAAACGUUUUCAAACUUUAAAGCCUGUUGUGGAUUUAUUUAUCCUCAGAUUAAUGUGGUUAUUGCAUUAAAUCUACCUUUUUGUUUUAAAUUA
Physeter macrocephalus (sperm whale) is the source of this 962-nucleotide long non-coding RNA. RefSeq lists it as uncharacterized. The transcript is spliced from 4 exons. The record is from RefSeq and is a predicted model, not a curated record. NCBI's taxonomy places the organism in Eukaryota, Metazoa, Chordata, Mammalia, Artiodactyla, Physeteridae.